UUCCCCCAGUAACGGCGAGUGAAGCGGGAAUAGCUCAAGCUUGAAAUCUCUGUUGCUUGCAACAGCGAAUUGUAGUCUCGAGAAGCAUUUUCAAGACGGAUACGCGAUAUUCAAGUUGCUUGGAACAGCACACCGUAGAGGGUGACAGUCCCGUAUGCGAUAUCGCGUUCAGUUCACGAUGUGCUUUCAAUGAGUCGGGUUGAUUGGGAAUUCAGCCCAAAAUUGGUGGUAAACUCCAUCUAAAGCUAAAUAUUGGCACGAGACCGAUAGCGAACAAGUACCGUGAGGGAAAGAUGAAAAGAACUUUGAAAAGAAAGUUAAAUAGUACGUGAAACCGUUAAAAGGGAAGCGCAUGGAAAUAGCAAUUCGCUAGCGAGAUUCAGGCGAGCGGAGUGUGAAAUGAGCGUCGUACGGAUCUGAAUGGACCGUUGUUGUUCGUCUUUGCGCUCCGGUUGUCGCACUUCCCGUUAGUGAGCGUCAACAACUAUUGCAGUUGGGCGAUAAGUCCCGCGGAAAGGUAGCCUGGAUUCACGUCUGGGUGUUAUAGUCCGUGGCGUACCAGUUCGAUUGCGAUAGAGGCGCCGCAUCUCACGCCCUCUUCGGGGCUGCCUUCCCCGUCUUCGGUCGGCUGUCAACUAUGGUGGACUGCUUGCAGUGCACUUGAACCGCGGCUGGCCGUUGCUCGGGUGCUUGGACACUAUGAGAUUAGGUUGUUGGCGAUUAAAGGUUUUCAUGCGACCCGUCUUGAAACACGGACCAAGGAGUCUAACAUGUGUGCGAGUCUUCGGGUGAUCGAAACCCAUGGGCAUAAUGAAAGUAAAGGCUGCUUGCAGCUGAAGUGAGAUCCCUCCCCUCGGGGCGGGCGCAUCAUUGACCGACCUAUUCUACUCCUAGAAAGGUUUGAGUAAGAGCACAUCUGUUGGGACCCGAAAGAUGGUGAACUAUGCUUGAGUAGGGUGAAGUCAGA
Molecule: ribosomal RNA, 967 nt
Filed under: Rhopalonematidae environmental sample
Lineage: Eukaryota; Metazoa; Cnidaria; Hydrozoa; Trachymedusae; Rhopalonematidae
Description: partial large subunit ribosomal RNA
Rfam family: Eukaryotic large subunit ribosomal RNA
Source: RNAcentral